Molecule: non-coding RNA, 138 nt
Filed under: uncultured Nitzschia
Lineage: Eukaryota; Bacillariophyta; Bacillariophyceae; Bacillariales; Bacillariaceae
Source: RNAcentral
UCUCUCUCUCUCUGUGUGUGUGUGUGUGUGUGUGUGUCUGUCUCUCCGUUUGCAGGAAGGACGGGGCACGUGUAACCACUAGGAUCAAAAAGGUUUCAGGCGACACCGAUAUUUUCUUGUCGGAACUCCGUGCGGCAC